UACCUUCAAAUUAGUUUAGUUUGAAAGCAUAAAUCUGAUAGGCCUAUUGGGCUUCCGGUUGCAGCACUGCUGGGCAGUUAUUCUACCACAAGGGAUGCAGCAGCAGCCAUGACAGCACUGCAUGUCUCCAGCAGCAGUUUACCUGUUUCUUAUCUCAUCUUUUAUUUUAAACUUUAUUAUAUGAAUAAUACAUAUAUCUUAUCUCAAUUUUUUAUUUUAAACUUUAUUAUGUGAACAAUAUGGUUGUAGUGAAAACAAUAUUUUGCACAACUAUAGUAUUUCUAUUUCAAACUUCAUUACGUUAAUAAUACAGUUUACAAUGCAAAACAAUAUUUGCGCAACUAUAUGUAUGAUCUGCUGAAGACAGUAACAUCACAUCUUUUAUUUCAAACUUCACUAAGUAAACAUUACAAUCUGCAGUGUAAGAAACUGCCGCUGCUAAGUGUGCUUCUCUUGUCUCUCAGAUCAAUAGCAGCAGCAGGCGGGCAGCUGCUGCUUACUCAUGCAGCCAAACACUACACUAUUAUUAGGUACCAUUAACAUUAUUUUUAAAAUAAACUUACUUAGAUUUAAAAUGAUUUAAGUCAUCAAGAAACGAGAUAAGUUGCUUUGGAACGGUGGGACGGAGGAGAAAACAACUUGGACUCCAUUCCUGUCCAUAUUGAGGGCACUGUCAAGUGACAUGAUAUCCAAAGCUUGUGCCAGGCAGGCAUCGUGACCACAUGAGCUGCCAAAACCCCAUGAUGGCACGGCACCUGAGGAAUAGCCGCUUCUCUGAACUUUCGAUAAGAAAACAAUUUCAGAAAAGUUCCAGUUAGUACAAACCAUUCGGUCGUGGUAAAAGUAACAUUUGAAGGAAACCUCAUCCUCUCCCCAUUUGAGAUAUUCCCUCGCUCGCUCAGCAGCAGGAGGCAGCGGCUGCUGUCAACAACAACUGGCUGUCCGACACCGCAUUUAAGCUUCACCCUCCCCUCGGGCCUCCUCCACUAAAACUCGGAUAGAUCUCAGUGCAGUGCUUCCCUGUUCCCUCCAUCAAGAAACAGCAAAGAUCCAGUGCAGAGAGAGAGAGAAGCGCCAUGGCACUCUGAACAAGAAAAGAAAGAGCUAGAGAGAUCUCAGUCAGCC
RNAcentral lists this long non-coding RNA (1125 nucleotides) under Zea mays. RNAcentral's name for it is "long non-coding RNA (ZMAY_LNC002188)". Lineage: Eukaryota; Viridiplantae; Streptophyta; Magnoliopsida; Poales; Poaceae. The record is from RNAcentral.